UAGUCUUAGUAUGUAGGCGCCAUGGAUGGCGAAUCGUGCAUGCAACUAUUACGGGCCAGUAAUAUCUUUCGAAGAUUUCUA
Glossina austeni is the source of this 81-nucleotide non-coding RNA. Lineage: Eukaryota; Metazoa; Arthropoda; Insecta; Diptera; Glossinidae. The record is from Rfam.